This 1090-nucleotide long non-coding RNA is filed under the name Felis catus (domestic cat). Its description in RNAcentral is "lncRNA (ENSFCAG00000051444.1)". Lineage: Eukaryota; Metazoa; Chordata; Mammalia; Carnivora; Felidae. The record is from RNAcentral.
GCCAUUUGAACCUUCAUCCAUGUGGACGACUUGCCUACAGAAAUGUGGUCUGUUUAUACUCUCAUUUGAUAGUAUUUGAUUAUGGGAUGUCAUUAGCUUUUGAAUGCCACCUUUUUAAAAAUUUGCGUUUCUCUAUGAGGCUAACCAGCUUUUCAUAUAUUUAGUUACUUGGAUGCUUUUUUUCUUCUGUGAACUCCCUUUGGAGUCCUGCAUGGGAACUUUAACUGGAGCAAAGGUUCAUUUAUGUAAUAAGAGUGUACUAAGUGCCUAGUAAAUCGUAGCUCCUCAGGCAAUGGGGUAAACAAAAUAGACAUGGUCCAUGCGGGCCAGACAGUAAAGAAGAAAAUGUGUCUGAGUACACAUUUGGUGGGUUCUUCCUUAGAUGCAGUGGUUAGGGAAGAUCUUUCUGAGGAGACAUGUAAGUGGAGACUUGAUAGAUAAGAAAUGAUGGGCCACAUGAGGUGUUAGGGAAGGAAGUGUUGUUCUUGGCCUCACAGACAGCAAGGUGAAGGUUUUCAGGCACAUGAGGACCUGGCAUGCUGGAGAAUGGGAAGAUACCCAAGCUGGUUAAAGCACAGUGAGGAAUGAGGUGGGUUUAUGUUUAGUCCCAACUGAAUUCAGGGGCAGACCUGGGCACUAUAUUCAAGGCUUUCUUUUCUUAGGUUAAAAACCCUACAAUGAAACUUUAGGCCAAUGUCUUUUGUGGGCAUGCUUGUAGAAUUAGACUUGUCGGGACUUACAGAAGCCCUCAUCUAUUGCUAAGCAGGACUACUAUGGAUCAUUCUUCACAAAGAAGGACAGGUUUGAAUAGCUUCGGAAAUAGAGUGAGUGCUUUCCCCUAAUUGCCCCCUCCUGUCGUUCAUGCUUUCGUUAGAGUCAACGGCUAUCCCUCAUGCUGCCACAGGAACCUUCUUUUGCCCUUCAUCCGUCCUCCCUCCACGUCAGGGAGGAAAAACUGAAUAAGGGGGAACACAGAAUGAGGACCCAGCGGGUGGACUAUGGUGCACAUCCCCUUCCUCCUGUGGCUCCUCGAUCUCUUUCAUCCAACAUUGCUGAAAAUGACCCCCACUGGGUUGCAUUUGGGCCAGGA